UCAGGGCAGAUCCCCUUCCUCUUCCCCACGCACGAGCGGGCGCACCGCCGCCGCCGACGCCUUCCUCGCGGAGUUUGCAGCCGAAGGAUCGGUUGGGGCGCACCGGGUCGGCCUUCGGUGGGGCGCAGUGCGAGCUCUCGGCUCGGGGCAGGAGGCGGCUCAAUGAAGAGGAGCUGGGGCGCAGCGCUCCUCUCCUGGUGUGGCGCACGAGGGAAGGAGGAGGGGAUCGAUCCAAGACGGGAGCUGAGGCUGGCGGCGCCCUUCACACAAGCCUCACCGGCGGUGCCUUCUACACAAGCCUCACCGGCGGUGCGGCGGGAGAGCUCCGACCCGUCCAUAGGUGCAGGGAUGCAGAUCCGCGUCGCCAGCCUGUACUAGGCCGAGGUUGAUGCGCCGGCGCAGGGGUCGCCGUCCAUCUUCGCCAGGUGCUUUGGCGCUGUAGAUAACACUUCUGGUUCUCCUCCAUGCUCGCAGGCCUCCAGAGUACUCCAGCAACAGCCACUGGACGGCAGGUAAGCAUGCAUUGUAUGACCUUAGCUAAUUGCGUACAUACAAGUUUGGAUGAAUUCCAAGAGAUGGAGCACUCUAUCCAAAUAGGAGAAGUGUUAGUUUAAAAGGGUACAAUUUUACAAUGAUUUUCAUGGGGAGCAAAGUAAUCACCUGCGGCAAAUUUAAGUUCUAGAAUUGACAUAUAUUCAGUUCCUUUUUUUUAUAAAGAGAGCUCCCUCUCCGAUUUUCAUUAGAAGAAAUCACCGUGCCUUGCAUAUAUUCAUAUAUGCAGUUCCUGGAAGAACAAAGAAGUUGCAUGUCCUUUUAUUUAGUCUGAAAAUCACAUUGAUCCUUGGAGCAUGAUUGGGACAAAUCGCACAUAUGUCCUGUACUGCACACACGUGAAGGCAAAGGAUUUUUCUGAAUGCCAUUGUUGUCCGGUACACAGUGUUUAUCAGUUAGUAAUUUGUCCCUUCCGCAAUGUGAUGAUACUGUCAAUAAGGGAAGCAACAUAUACCAUUGGUUUUGUUGAUAGAUUAAACCACAAACUGGUACAAUGUUUGAGAUAUAAUGUUUUCUAUCUAAAUGUUGUUUCACACAGUUAAUCAUUGGUUUUAUUUGAGAGAUAAAUUAGUUUAUGCACUGAACUAGAAAUAACACAACUACAUAUUGAUUUUCUGCUUAAAUUUCACAAUAGAUAUUUUGCCGGAUGACCCACUGUAUGAGCAUGCCACAUCCUUUCUUGCUCACCCAGCACACGGCAUUCCUGUAAGCCUUCACCCUCCACGCACACCAGCUGCGGUGGAAGCCUAGCUCCUACAGCUCUGCAGUGAGGCACGCAGAGAGUGACGACAACUUCUGAAGCCAUGGCUAGCCUGUGAUUACCAGAGUGGCGAUGAGUGUGAUUUGGAUACCUGUUUUGUUUGCUCCUUCUGUUUUGAUUUGAGUUGAUGGGGAUGAGAUGUGACCCUACUGCUGGGCGUCGCAAAUGCCACGGCUCCAUGUAUGCCCCAGCUUUGGUGAUGCACGGGCGAGGCUACUCGAUCUGGUGUAGUCGCCCUCCUUCCAAGAAAUCAAGUUCUUUCGUUCAGAUUUUAGAUCUCUUGAGUUUCAGCUUAGUUCAAGGAUAGAAAAGCAUGCUCCUUAUGGAUUCAAUGAGGAAAACCAUCAGCCACUUAUUCAGAAUUGGAUGGUGUGGUGCACCUUCAUCUUGCUAUCCAACUUCUUAGCUUAUUUGCUUUAACUUUACUACAGUUAUAUAGCAGGAUAAGGAUCGAAUCUUGUGACGCCACUCCAUUUCCAUCGUCAAAAGUUGCGCAUGAGUUGAUUUAGACUUUCAGAGUUCAGAGAAGACCUAGCAGAGUUAAUCAGCCUGAAGGUAUAUCAGAUCCUAAGGAAAGAGGACCCGGUUCAGAUUUGUCACUACUAUGUGCUGUUGGAUAGCCUUGGUAUGUGUUAGUUUUAAUUUACCGCAGAAGUUCGAUUCUUGGGAGAUAGGACAGGUGCAUACAUUAGUUUUCUUAUGAAUCUGUUCUCUUUUUGUGCACUAUCUAUCUAUGAAAUUUUUCAAAGAAAUUGACGGCGGCGGCUCGGCGGCGGUGUGGCGAAUGACGAAGCAUCUAAAAUGGACGGAAGAGAGGUGGUAGGGCGCGGCUGGGAGACGUACAUAUUUGAGGAAAUACGAUUCAUAAGGUUUCAUAUUAAUAACUUUAUUCUGGGACAACUUUAUUCUCCAAUAUGAAUCUGUAAGAAAAGAUAUGGCAUACAUUUGUGUAAAUUGAUAAUGUAAGCACAUCUCGAAACUCUAUUAUUUUUUCAAGAUUGAUUUACUUGGUGGUGCUAACUUCCAUUUUCUCAAAACAGGGCAUGUGUGCUAUUUCUGAAAAAAGAAGCUGGCAUCCCUGGUGCUACACAGGAGUAUGUAGGAAAAGAAAUGGCAUCUCAUAAUUCUUUGGAUGUAGACCAGUAGGUUCAAUUACAAAUUGUUGGCUGUAAAUGACUUUCAGUUUCUAGCUUUCAUAAAAUUUAGACAUGUACUACUCUUUAACAGUAUGAUGUGGUUGAUGGUGGUCCUAUGUGCUGGUUCAAAUUAUCAUGUUGGAUAAUAUUGCUUUUACUA
Molecule: long non-coding RNA, 2608 nt
Organism: Triticum aestivum (bread wheat)
Lineage: Eukaryota; Viridiplantae; Streptophyta; Magnoliopsida; Poales; Poaceae
Exons: 2
Source: RefSeq, a predicted model, not a curated record